This 756-nucleotide ribosomal RNA is filed under the name uncultured bacterium. RNAcentral's name for it is "bacterial SSU rRNA". It matches the Rfam family "Bacterial small subunit ribosomal RNA", at positions 8 to 796 of the family's 1533-position model. The record is from RNAcentral.
AGAGUUUGAUCAUGGCUCAGAGCGAACGCUGGCGGCAUGCUUAACACAUGCAAGUCUCACGGGCAGCAAUGUCAGUGGCGGACGGGUGAGUAACGCGUAGGAAUCUGCCCCUGGGUGGGAACAACCGUUGGAAACGACGGCUAAUACCGCAUGAUGCCCGCGGCUGUGGUGGCCGCGGAUCAAAGGCGCAAGUCGCCCAGGGAGGAGCCUGCGUACGAUUAGCUAGUUGGUGGGGUAAUGGCCUACCAAGGCUGCGAUCGUUAGCUGGUCUGAGAGGAUGAUCAGCCACACUGGGACUGAGACACGGCCCAGACUCCUACGGGAGGCAGCAGUGGGGAAUAUUGGACAAUGGGCGAAAGCCUGAUCCAGCAAUGCCGCGUGUGUGAAGAAGGUCUUCGGAUUGUAAAGCACUUUCGGCGGGGACGAUGAUGACGGUACCCGCAGAAGAAGCCCCGGCUAACUUCGUGCCAGCAGCCGCGGUAAUACGAAGGGGGCUAGCGUUGCUCGGGAUGGCUGGGCGUAAAGGGCGCGUAGGCGGAUGGGACAGUCAGAUGUGAAAUUCCCCGGGCUCAACCUGGGGGCUGCAUUUGAUACGUUUCGUCUAGAGUGAGGAAGAGGGUCGUGGAAUUCCCAGUGUAGAGGUGAAAUUCGUAGAUAUUGGGAAGAACACCGGUGGCGAAGGCGGCGACCUGGUCCUUGACUGAGCUGAGGCGCGAAAGCGUGGGGAGCAAACAGGAUUAGAUACCCCCGUAGUCC